This 30-nucleotide non-coding RNA is filed under the name Mus musculus (house mouse). Lineage: Eukaryota; Metazoa; Chordata; Mammalia; Rodentia; Muridae. The record is from RNAcentral.
UGAGUGCAUAGACCCUGGACCCUUUGACUC